CUAGCGACAUCUAGUAAUGAGUUUUGAAUCUUAAGUUGGUUGCAGUCAGUCACAGACAGACGUGAUAUUACACGUCAAAAAAGUUUAACAACGGAGAUCGGAUAACAAGUUAACUGUUUUUAAAUAAUUUCAGCUGAAGUUUUCAUGUACCUGGCCAACUAGGUGCUCGUGACAAUAGAAAUGAAAUGGUCUAAUCCAAUAAUGCAAGCUCACAAGUCACAACCUAUGUCUUCUGAAGAAAAAUCAUUUCUGUUGCAGUUGUAAAUCUUCAAGAUAUUGAUGCCUUCGCCAGAUCCAAUUCUUUGUUGCUGAUGAGAGAGAGAAUUCAUCAUUUUGUGUGCAACAGUUUUGAUUAUUUUUAUUUCUAAUUUAAAUUUUGCUUUAGAUUUUGCAUUUAGACUGAAUGAUAACCAUUUUGUUGCCCAUCCAAGGAUAAGGAAAAGGCCAACACCACCAACACGUCAACUAGGUUCUUUGUUUGUUAACCCCCUUGGCUGGUGAAAGAUUGUUGUGCAUCAAGUUAACCUGUGGCUGUUCCUUGUUGCUGGUGUCUUGCUACAGAAGUUACAGGCAGUAUUUUGUUAAAUUUGCAUUAUGUCUGUAGAUUUACAGCUAGUUUAAGUCUUAGCUUCAUCUUCUUCUUCAUUCCAGUCUAAUUCACACAUGUAUUUUUUCAGCCAGUGUUGAAUUUGACGUGCACAAUUUUCUCAUUGGUAUAAGUAUGAUUAGGCU
This 732-nucleotide long non-coding RNA is filed under the name Daphnia pulex (common water flea). RNAcentral's name for it is "uncharacterized LOC124202620, transcript variant X2". The record is from RNAcentral. Lineage: Eukaryota; Metazoa; Arthropoda; Branchiopoda; Diplostraca; Daphniidae.